AUGAAGUAUUCUGGCAUGGGGCUUUGGGUGUUCUGGAGCUUUGGACCUUGCAAAGACAGUCAAGAACAAUUUGGGCCAGGCCGCUUUGCUGACUCGCAGCCCAUCCAGAGUGAACUGGCAACACAGGGCUUCCCCCGCUGUUCUGCAGUGCACCCGCCUUGUGCCGUUCUGCAGCGCAAUGCACACACUGCCAGGUCCUAUUACUUGAUUAAUGCAUCACGUCCGAUAACACAACAUUUACUGAAUACAGGCUAUUAACCUUCCAAAACAUUCACCCACGGGCUAAACUUUGCAGUACUUCUACUCUGAUUCUGAAAAAUGUCUCUAUUCAAAAAGCCAGUGCUAAGUGAAAGUGAAUUAAGUCCCCUCGCAACCAAUGGUAAGCAUAUACC
Molecule: long non-coding RNA, 392 nt
Filed under: Dromaius novaehollandiae (emu)
Lineage: Eukaryota; Metazoa; Chordata; Aves; Casuariiformes; Dromaiidae
Description: lncRNA (ENSDNVG00000007010.1)
Source: RNAcentral